AACAAGGCAGAGAACAGGCCAGCCUGGGGCCUUGAGGAGCUAGUUAGAGUGCCUGUCAAGUGUGGGUCUAGGGGGAGCUGCUGGGCCUCUAAGUGUCUUCUCCCUAGAGCCUAGAGGCGCUGGUGUCCUGUGCAUGCCACGGGGC
MicroRNA precursor from Equus caballus (horse), 145 nucleotides. NCBI's taxonomy places the organism in Eukaryota, Metazoa, Chordata, Mammalia, Perissodactyla, Equidae. The record is from Ensembl.